RNAcentral lists this ribosomal RNA (253 nucleotides) under uncultured bacterium. Its description in RNAcentral is "partial 16S ribosomal RNA". It matches the Rfam family "Bacterial small subunit ribosomal RNA", at positions 524 to 776 of the family's 1533-position model. The record is from RNAcentral.
UACGAAGGGGGCUAGCGUUGCUCGGAAUCAUUGGGCGUAAAGGGCGCGUAGGCGGCCGUUCAAGUCGGAUGUGAAAUCCCUCGGCUUAACCGAGGAACUGCAUUCGAUACUGGGUGGCUAGAGUCCGGGAAGGGGUAGUGGAAUUCCCAGUGUAGCGGUGAAAUGCGUAGAUAUUGGGAAGAACACCGGUGGCGAAGGCGGCUACCUGGACCGGUACUGACGCUGAGGCGCGAAAGCCAGGGGAGCGAAUGGG